GUAAAACCAAAACAUAGUACUUGGUAGUUUGAUAUUAGGAGAUAAACAGGAUAUUAGGAACAUUGGCUGAAUGGAAAUAGAGUGCCCUGCUCAUUAGUAUCACAUAUUAACCUUAGUCCCUUUCAUUAUCAUCGUGAAGUGAAAUCCUGUCCAUGAUAUUGGCCACCACCUCUUUGGACUCCUUGAGAAGCUUGACACUCUUUU
RNAcentral lists this unclassified non-coding RNA (204 nucleotides) under Hevea brasiliensis (rubber tree). The record is from RNAcentral. Lineage: Eukaryota; Viridiplantae; Streptophyta; Magnoliopsida; Malpighiales; Euphorbiaceae.